GCAGCCGCUCGCCCCCAGCGCUCCGCAUCCCGGCGGGUGAAGGCAAAGAGCUGCAGGACCUUCUGCGGGAAGCAUGCGAGCCUUAGCCCCGCAGGCCGGCACAGCCUGCCGUUUGAUGCUUGGGCCCGCUUCCAGGUUUCAAAACAAAAAAAACCCUCGUUUUUUAGGGUGUCUCGUUUGCACCAAUAAGCCAGACAUCAUGUAAAGGCAUCAAAAGGGGUUACAGAAGUAGGCUGAUGUUAGUCCUAGUUGCAACCUUAAAAAUGGGUCAUUCAUCUGCAUUUGUGAAAGGUUUUGCAUCUGCUUAUUAAAAUAAUAUUAUGUGGUAAGGCUUAAAGAAUCUGUGUGGUUCUGUAUGUGUGGAUUCUUGAAUAAUAUUCUCGAGGUGCUAAAGAUAGGUGGGCUGUCAGGUGCAUUUUGAGAAGGCAGCUAAACAAAGCCCUUCCGUUUGAUGUUGUCUUAAUUGCCAUGCUCAGCCUGCUACUGGAUUACUUUGUUACUGUGUAGAAAGCAAGAACUCCUUAAUAUUUACUACGCAAGUCAGAAAGGUGAAUUUUUCAGAAUUAAAAGAUUAAUUUGAUUAAGGCCAUCUAAUUGUGUGGACUUCCCCCAUAUUCUAAUCUCCACCCAUCAUGUUCCAGCAUGGGUGGAGAAUGGCAUCACAAAUCUCGAAUACUCCCAUGCUACACAACAUCCUAUUGUUUAGGCAAACUUCUCUCUCUUGCUUUCAGAAAUCUUACUGUACAAAUGCUGGUACAGAUUAUUUGUGUUGUAAAGCAACUGCCUGCCUUUUCAUUUGAUUCUGUUAGUGUACUGUGAGUACUGUCAGCUGACCAGGAGCAAGUAUGCCAGCACCCGUGACCACUUAACAAAGGGAGUUGCAUUCACUUCAUGUCAGGUUGAUUACAGAGGUCAUCACUUGUGGUGGUGAGCAGAUUGCAAGCUAUAGACUGUCAGCAUAAGUGAAGUAAGAACUGUUUCCCAAGGUAGAAUAUUUUUCCUUCACACAGUACUAUAUAGGGAUGAUACUGAUGAUUCACUCUCUAAAACAUGACAGGCUACAGGUGUAGUACAGUGGUGUAAUACUGCAUUCUGGUCCUUGUGCAUCAGCACAAGUAGUGUGCAGUUCUGAGAUUUCGUUGUGUGUUGGUAGGUGUUCACAGCCAGCAGCUGAGGUAACGGGGAAGGAGUCUCAUGAGCAACACCUUCUGAAGUAGAUACCAAGAUUUGGUAAUAUCUAACAGUAACUAAAAAAUAUGGUUCCUUAAGCCUUUUAUAAGAACUACUGUUUGGACUAACAAAAAUCAAGUGUCAGUUAAUUGUUCAUUGCUAACCCUACCUUAGUUUCUUCCCCUUGUCUCCAGAAGCCCCUCCCUUUUACAUACAGUACAGCUGCAAAAUGCUUUUGUAGCUGCACUGUGUUGGUGUGCGUAGCACUUCCCUUGAUCUGCCCUCCCUAGUGAAAUGUCAGCUGUGCAAACUACUGGUCUUAAGAAACAUGCACAGCAUCUGGUUGAACUGUGUCAUUGCUGAGUUCAAUCUAGUAAUUGAAUGACUGAGCAUUUCAAGACUGCAAUACAAAAAUAUAAAAAUAAGAACUUUACCCUGAGAACUUGCAAAAUGUCAUGCUGGAGAAAGCAUAUGCACUAGCCUCUGGCAGGUCAGCUGGUGAGCCUGGCUAAUGUACUGCACAGGUGGAAUUGAACUUCAUUGCUGCUUUCUAUUUAAUGACAGAACAUGGUUCCAGAUAACAUUUUUCUAGUGGUGUGUGGAAGUCACAGAAAUCCUUUCCGUUAUCCAACAUUGAACACAUCAUUGGCUAUCUAGUGGAGUUUCUCAUUACGCUAGACUUUCUUCCAUCUUUACCAAAGAACCACCACCACCCACACACUCAGUCCAGUGAAUUCUUUGUGUGUCUUCUGCUUCCAUGUUCUAAAUCUCACUUCCUUUCCCAAGACUUUAGCUAUUUUUCUUAAAAUCUUCUCUAGUUAGUCUUAUAUUCCUCCCCAGUUAAAGGGUGUUCUUUUACUUAUUUUUCUUCUGCUUUUACAUUUGGAGAAUUAAUAUAGCAUGUGAAUUCUUUCAUUUUUCUCUCAUUCAGGGAGAGGGGCAAACAAGACCACCAAAACCACAGCAUCGGUUCUGUUACUGCUGCCUUACCAGUUAAGGAAUGUGUUGACUGUUGCUGUAGUUAACUCAUUUUUCAUUUAACUCGCCACCUGGUACUCUUACAAUCCAAGAUACUAACCAGUAGAUUGAAACUGCAGAAUUUUAAGUGUUUAAUUAUUUGACAGGUUAGUGUCAGCUGCCCAGAAUUACUAUUAGUAACCCUCUGCUAUUGAGGAUUGAGAAUAAUGGAAAUUAUGUUCUGUUAAUAUUUGUUGUCUAAAAUAUUCAAUACUACCAGUAAAAGCAAGCACAGGGUAGUAUCUGCAGCUAUUCAAGAACAGAAAAGAGAACUUGGAUAUAUUAAUUCUUACACUAUUCUGGAACUCUUCCAUAACGAUCACCUUGUUAACUUAAGCAGGACUGUGAUGAGGAUUAUCAUUGUGAAAAUAACUUUGUAUAUAGUAAACAACCACAUGUAAAAAAUAGUGCAGAAUCUGUAUCUCUAGCUGAGACGUUUGAAGUUUGAAAUGUUCAAAUUUCCACAAAACCUGAAGUAACAGAUGAUGUGAAUUUUUUCAUUAAUCAUUUAUCUUAAUAAAAUGAUUGCCAAACUUUUUUGAUGUAAAACCCAGGACCAUAAAGCCUCGUAUAACUGAUGAAUGAAGUGGGUAAGAUGAGAGAGAAAAGUAAUGGUUAGUUGCUUAUUUCUCUUCAAAUAUUUCAGUUCUAUAGGUGCCUACAAUAUUCAACUUAAACAGUGGUGUAUCAGAUUUGUACCAUGCAAUAAGGAUAACGUCAGUUACCCUUUUCUAGUCAAGUGAUCGGCAGACUGUUACAUGUUGCAUCAAAAUGACUGACAUAAUUGUCUGUGGAACAUCACUAACGAUCUCCAACAAAUGGGAAAUUGUUGAGAUCCAUGUUCUGCUCAUGAAACAGCAAGAUUUUCAUGUACAGAUGGAAUGAAUGGGGAGAAAAGUGGGAUAAGGCAACAAAUCCUCCUGUCCAGCUUUAUGAAUGGGAGGAGUCCGGCAUUCUAGAGCUUUGUUUUUGUAUGCUUGAAAGUUUCAAACGUGGCAGGUCUAAAACCAUGUUUCCCUUCAACACAAUUAUGCAAUCCUAUCAGAGUUACAUAAAAAAAGUGAAUAAUGGUAGCACAUGAUAGUUCCACAAUGCAUGCAAAAUCCUCAUUUAUAUUCAGUGUAUACUUUAAAAAUAGUUGCCUGCUUUCAUACUAGGUUAGAAUGAGGUAAUCCUAUACAAACUAGAAUACAGCUUUGUUGUUAUAGUUAAGCAAACAACUUAGUUACAGACUGGUAUAUUAAAAUGAGUCUCUCUGCAUCAAAAUGUAACAUGCUAUCUCAUGUCUCUAGAGAAGUGUCACAUAGUGCCAGAUGCCUGGCCUGCUACAAGGUGUGUGGCUAUUAGAAAUACUGGAGUGACCUUUCAGAAGAGCAUUCAGCAACUUUCAACUACAGUAUUAAUGGAGAUUUGAGGCUUUAUGCUACACUGUACAGAGGUAAGUUGCCUUUCUCUAAAUGUGCACUUAAAUCCUUCAGUAAUUUCUGUAAUGCUCACAAUCCUCACUUAGCAUAUCUUGAUUGAAUUUAAAACUUUUCACUUUAAAACUGAUGAUAUGACAGAUUGUAACACAAAAUAUGUUAGAUUUAUUCAUAUGAAUUUAAACCAGGAUUUUUUAUUUCUUGGUAUUUGAUUACUGUCAUGCAACCUAUCACUUUGGAGCAGUGUAGUUGCUUACUUGCUUGUUUUGAAACAAUUUUAAUAAAUAACUUGAUAAGUCUACUGAGCAUUUGCUGUGAGGCAUUAACACUGCUCUGCAGAAGUCUUUACAGGCCUAAAGAUCAGGUACAACACUGGCAAUGUGUGUAGUGCCACUAAUCUGGGAGGAGAAAAACCCCACCAUCAUUAUGUUUUUUCUUUCCCCAAAUUCAGCAGUGAACAAAAUCUUUCAAGUUUCUGUUCCUACUUCCAGGAUGAUUCUAGGAAAAGAGCCUAUCUAAAUAAGGCUCAUAUAAUUUUUGUUUUGUUCUGUCUGUAAAUGGGCUAACAUUAUGUAGACGAUGGAGCCCUGAGUUUUCUGCAUUAGUUUUCCCUUUUAUUUUUUAAAAUGUAGUCUCAAAGGGAAUUCUCACAAUUCUGUGCCACAUGUAAAUUCCCACAUUAGUACGCUUUGAUAAAUAAAUGCUAAUAUUCUAGCAAGAUAUUUAAAGAAAACCAUAAUAAGAUAAUUAAGUACUAAAUACCUUGUUCAUAGCUGAUAUGGGCAACCAUCCAUGCUGUCUUUGGGCCAAAUCUAGUACUGCCAUGACAGCUGCAGACUUGUGUCCCCCUGGGUAGUUGUUUAUGAUUGCUUCUAUUCGCUUUUUAAAGGGAAAAGGGGGAAAAAAAAAAAGUAUCAGUAUUGAUCUAAAGACAAAAGUCUGUGUAUUUAACUUUUUUUGUCCGCAUACCUUUUGGUUUUCAGGUGUGAACUCAAAUGGAGUAUCUGGAUUAUUUUCAGGACUAUCUCUGUGCUUCAGGAAAAGAAAAAGAAAACAUGUAAAAAUAGGGCUGUCAGGAAAUUAUUCAGGACAGAUUUACUGUUAUAAAACAUCUUCUCAUUAGACAGUAACAGUUGAGUUGCUUGAAUAAAACUGAUAUAUUCCAGAUAAAAAUUUCAUAGUAGUCAAAUGAUUAAAUAUGUCUGGGAAAGUUAUAAAAAAUUUUGAUAAUUAUUUCGUCACUCCUAAAAAUAAUGACUUAUUCCUGUUAUUUCCUAUUAAAAACAUUUCUUGAGGAAUAUGGUGUUAUCAAAAUAUACUUUUUUUUAACACUUAAUACAGUUUAGCAAUUAUGUUCAAACUCAUCACAGUCCUCUGGUUAAUACCUUAAUAAACAACAAGGGACUUAAACAGCAGCCCAUUUUUUUCUUUCACCAUGAGGCAUUAACUGUAAAAACUUCAAAAUUCAUCAAGAAGCUUGCUAUACAACUAAAACAUUUGCACAUCCAAACACACAUUAAUCCAUUUUAACAUAUUCUUUUGAUUUGUAAUGGAUUUCAACAUUCUAAUUUUAGAUACAACUGUGAAUCAGAAUGGAAGAAGCAGAAUUUUGAAUUAAUAUUUCCAAAAUAAGAAAAUACAAAUUUGGAAGUCUUGAAGAAAGUGACAUUUUCCUAUAAUAAAAUCUUAGUUCUGAUGAAAAUCCUUAUCCACCAGAAAAACUUCCUGCCCAAAAUUUUCAGUUACCUCUAAGCAGCUCAUUAUGGUAUCCUUGAAACACUCAUAGCUAAGUUUCAUUCCAAACUUUAUACAGUUUUCAAAUUGAGAAAGUUUCAAAUUAAAUGGAAAGUUUGGGGGAAAAUGCAAGCUAUACUUGAGGCUUGAUGUUAAAAGUAAUCUACAACCAGCUAAUGAUAAAAGCUUUAAAAAUAUAUUUAGGAGAAAGAAAUCCACUCCACUGGCUUUCACUUCGAUCAUUUUCUCAAGUAAUCUAGGGUGAUUUUGUAGUUUCCACGCUGUGUUCAUAUUAAGCAGUGAAGGAUUUAAUGAAAAAUCUUAACAUUGCAAGAUACUUGCAUACUGAAAGACUGUCAUCAGUGCAGAACUUAAAAUAUGUAUGGUCCAUAGCUAUUCCUGGAUUUAGAAAUUAAUAUGGAAAUAUUGAAAGGCCAAAAACUUGAAUUAUAACUGUUAGUCUAAUGAGAGAUUCCCUUUGCUUAUCCUGUCUAUAUCCUAGAGCAGACAGUACUACUGCUCCCAUCAAUUUGAGAGCUUGUACCCCUACCACAGUUCCAAGUCAAAUAUAAAACUACAGUCAAUAUAUACUUCUCCACUAAGGACGACUUUCCCCUAAUAAAAGGCAUUGCAGAAGGAUAAUCAAUAUCCUUUGAACACACUAAUAUUUUAUUAAGUAUGAAUUUAUUGCUUAUUGUGUGGUCUACAAGGUAACAUAAAACAGCUUUUAAGAACACAAUUGCCACUAUUUUAGACUGACCCUUCCAGAUACAGGAUUUGACUCCUCAUAUGUAGUGUUGCUGAGGGUUUUCUACCAAUUUUAAAGAAAGUUCUCAAAAAGAGGCUGAUGGAGGAAAAACUAAUUGGGAAUACCGUGCAACUUUUAAUUUUUUUUCCCCUUACAGACCUGUUCUAUGUCUUAGCUGCACAGAUCAAAUCCAUGAUUCAUGAUAAGUACUUACAUAACUUAACUUUUCCUUCUCAAAUUUGCAUACCCAUUUUAUUUCAGUCUGCUAUUUUGCCUUCCAUAGCUAUUUGAUAGUUACAGUUGUACUUCAUCUCAAUUUCUUUUGCAAGUAAGUAUAUUUGAUUUAUUAAAAUCUCCUCCUUUGUCUACAACAGCUCUUCUUUUCAGUGUAUCAUCUCUAAACUGGUAUCCUUAAAUAGCCUACAUGUGAGGAGGAAUAAUAAAGACUUUAUAUCUGAAGCUAGUUUGCCACACAGUCAGUUCUGUGCAGCAAGGCCCCAAAAUGUGUUUUAAAGCCUACAGCACAGGUGAAUACUAAAUAAGAUCAUGUCACCUUUUUUUGUUUUCCAUUUUCCUAAAUGGGCUUCAUCUCAUUCUGUGCUGUAGAGAGCUUGAUAGUUUUCAUCAGUAGCUAACAGAGUUCUAGGUCUACUGAGCUGUUAGGAAUUUGUCAGUCACAUGUUCCCUAGUAUUCCAUUUGUCUGAUGACGCACCAUUUAUCUGAGACUUGCAUGAGCUGAUUUGCUCCUAAAUGGUAUCGGUGCAUUUCUGCCUUUUCUUAGGACACAGAUUCUGGAGAACAAGAUCAGAAUUAAGGACACAGUAUUGGAAGGAAUACUAUGUUAAAUCACAGAGUGGUUGAGGUUGGAAGGGACCUCUGGAGGUUGUCUGGCCCAAACCCCCCUGCUCACGCAAAGCCACCCAGAGCUGGUUGCCCAGGACCAUGUCCAGACAGCUUCUCCUGAGUAACUCCAAGGUGGGAGACUCCACAACCUCCCUGGGCAACCUGUGCCAGUGCUUGGUCACCCUCACAGUAAAAAAGUGUUGGCUGAUGUUCUCCGAGGCCAUUGUCUCUGGCUCUGUCACUGGGCACCACUAAAAAGAGCCUGGCUCCAUCUUCUUUGCACCCUCCCUUCAGGUAUUUAUAGGCAUUGGUAAGAUCCCUCCUCCCCCAGUCUUCUCUAACAGUCCCAGCUCUCUCAACCCUUCCUCAUAUAACAGAUGCUCAUAAAAAGAAACUGAUACAUUAAGGCUUCCUCUAUACACAAAGUAAGUACAAUUAUGUCUGUACCAACUACAGCAAUUUGUAGAAAAGCAAGGUCAAAUUCUAGCCAUGCUUUUUUUCCCAAUUCCCUUCUUGUGCUCCCCAAUUUCCUGAAGUCUUACACAGUAUGUUUUCAUUCUAUGCAUAGCUUGACUGUAUCACAUUUCUAUUGCAACAUUCAGCCUAACCUACUUGAAGUGUGAACAACUGCACUGUGAAGGCCUACCAAAGCCACACUGCCCCCACAGAUGAUGGUACUCUCUCAUGGAAGGUACUAAGGCUGCUGAAUGUUCAUCUCAUUCUUUUUGCUACACCAACCUGGGCCAUUUUAUUAUUCUUUUUCAGUGAUUUAAUCAUCUGUCUUUCUUGACAGAGAGAAUUAUUAAAGAGUGCUGAAGAAUUACAGUAGAAUAACUAGAAUAAUUGAGCUUUCAUGUAUACUGCAAAAAAGUCGGCCUGAAACUUGACCUAUGCCUGUUUACCUGUGGUAAACAUUAGUCCAAAACACUGUAAACCAAAAUGAGAGAACUGUGUGGUAUGCAGGGGAAUAGAUGUUUAGGGCAACAACCUGUUAAAAGUCCCAAUCAAAUCAGCAACUGAAAGAAAUUUAUUACUUCCCCUCCAAGGGUAAAGUACUCUACAUUCACUAUUCCAGCAAAACUCAAGAUAUAAACCUUCUUAAGUUAAGAAUGGUAGAAGUGCUCUCAGACCCAAGUAUUUCACUGACCAUCUUCACAAGUAACUAAAACUAUAAUAUAGCAAUUAUCUAACCUUCUGUACUGAAUCCCGUGCAGCCCUAUGACAAAGCCCACAUCAGGGCAGUCAAUGUGUUAAGGAAACUCAGUCCCUGUGUUGAAAACCACAAAGUAGAACAGUUAAGUUUUAGCUGUUAAGGAGGCUAAAGACAGAUAGAAGUUAAAAAUAGAGAAGGCAUGUUUAAAGAAAUAAAGGUAACUAUUAUAAAUAAAAGUAUCUUUGAAAUCAGGCCUUUCCUAGCCAUCAGAAACAUGAUAGAUUUGGAACAGCUCUCUUAGGUUACAAUGGGCAAACAAUCUACCUAGUUUUAAACUUGAUACACAUUUCUGGGAGUGUGAUCUAGCUGCCUGUGAUGGCACCAGACUGAGUUUAAUUGUUGGGAAAGUCUCUUCUUGGCUGUUUCAGAAUAAAAAGGAGUUUCAGUAGAAGUUUUCUUAUUUCUGUAUAUUUCUGAUAACAUGUAAAGAAAAAACUUGCAUGAAAAAAGUUUGCAAAGGGAUACAAGGGCGUGCAAAUCAGCACUGCCUUUUAAUACUAGCUUUUAAGACAACCAGGUCCCCUGCCAGCGUGUCCCCCUGCUGUUACAAAACAAAUAUGCUGUAUGCAUUUCUCUUCCUCAC
Long non-coding RNA from Harpia harpyja (harpy eagle), 8730 nucleotides. RefSeq lists it as uncharacterized. The record is from RefSeq and is a predicted model, not a curated record. The transcript is spliced from 3 exons. NCBI's taxonomy places the organism in Eukaryota, Metazoa, Chordata, Aves, Accipitriformes, Accipitridae.